Molecule: ribosomal RNA, 253 nt
Filed under: uncultured bacterium
Lineage: Bacteria
Description: partial 16S ribosomal RNA
Rfam family: Bacterial small subunit ribosomal RNA
Source: RNAcentral
UACGUAGGGUGCGAGCGUUAAUCGGAAUUACUGGGCGUAAAGUGUGCGCAGGCGGCCGCGCAAGUCGAGUGUGAAAUCCCCGAGCUUAACUUGGGAAUUGCGCUCGAAACUACGUGGCUGGAGUGUGGCAGAGGAAGGUGGAAUUCCACGUGUAGCGGUGAAAUGCGUAGAGAUGUGGAGGAACACCGAUGGCGAAGGCAGCCUGCUGGGCAGUUGCUGACACUGAGGCGCGACAGCGUGGGGAGCAAACAGG